This 1395-nucleotide long non-coding RNA is filed under the name Anser cygnoides (Swan goose). Its description in RNAcentral is "lncRNA (ENSACDG00005018433.1)". The record is from RNAcentral. Lineage: Eukaryota; Metazoa; Chordata; Aves; Anseriformes; Anatidae.
GCCUGAGGAGAAACAGGGCCUGUGAGGGGUGGGAGGAGAGAAGUAAAAGGUUCCUCCCCUGAAGGGAAGAGUGUGGGUGUAAAGGUGACGCUGUCUGAGCAAGUAGGGAAGCUGCUGGUUGAAAAUCUGGGAGAAGAUGCAUGGCCUAGAGGCUGAGUGUUUUCUGCAUGUAUUUUAAGGGAAAAUGGCAGGCAAUUCCAUGCAGAGCUCUGGCUGAGAAACAUCUGCACAGCCUUUGCUCUGCAGAGAGGCUCCUCUGAAGGUGCCCCUUGCACACAAACCAGACCCUGGAUGUUCUCACACUUACGUCAGUUAACGUUGCCUGGUGCUGGAGGUGGCAUUGGGCAUAACCCAGCUUAUUAUGGCUGCUAUAUGGAUUGGCUUUGUGUGAAUGACCAUCUCCAUAUGCUGGCAAUAUCAAAGGUUCCUCUUUCCACCUCUCUUUGGACAGUGAUUGCUUCUCCUCCAUUUCUCCUGCUGUGUGCCAUGUCUUCGUGACAGUUUAAGCAGUAAAAUGGUUUAAUCUCUCUGGAUUGCAACAGCAGAAACCCCUGACAAGGACAGGAGAUUGACAGAAUUUGUAAUAAUAUAUUUUUACUUAUGUCACAUAUUUGUAAUUUCAAGGACGUGAUUCACAAUGACCCUAUUGCAAUGUUGUGUAGGCAUUGUUCUACACUGAUUUGCAUUAAUGUCUACAGAAGAGUUUUUCUCUCUUAGUACUGCUUCAGAGGAUAUGCUUGUCAUUAAAAUUCUGGUCACAGAUGUGGGUUAAAAUAUCUCUAACCUUUACAAAUGUAUUAUGUGGCACUACUGACAUAGCUUUUAUUGCAGAUAAAAUCUAUAACAAAUUCUGUGUGUGACAGGAGAGGAACAUGAGUUUGUAUUAAAUUCAGAUGAUAGAGAUGCAUUCCUUGCUUGUACUUUUAAAAUGUUUUGGAUUUAGUAACAAUGAGUUAGGCUUUCUACUCUGUUGCAUUAGAAAUCCAUUAAAUCUAUUCACUUUGUUUUAGUUUGUUAUUUUGAUAAAUUUUUCUUAAACAGGAUUUCAGAAGAGGACAUAAAAGAGUGGUAAGAAUUCAGCUCAUUUCCAGUCCUGGUUGAGUCGCUCAGAAGUAAACAAGAAAUCAGUUUAUUAGGAUAGACUGCCUAACAUUUAUCAUUGAAAAUUUUUGAUAACCUGCAUUAAAUGCAGCCUGUGAUCCUCUGCUUCUGUUUCCUAACUUAUACUGGUAUUCAUAUACCUAAAAGGGUCAUGUUUACUGGUGGAGAACUGUGUAUCUUGUUUUUUUUUCUUUUUUUGUCAAUGAUUAACUACAAUGUCCUUCCUUUGGGGGAAAAAAAUGGGAAUGGAAGAAUUUAACCAAAGAAUAAAAUUAACUAAUAGUUGUUAUAACA